AAGAUCAUUAACUGAUGCGCAUUAGCUAGUUGAUACAUUUGUCUUUUAAAAUACAACUGACAUAUAAGGAUCGUAAUGGUGCAAUGUGGAUAAAUUUAUCGGUUUCCGAGAGCAAAAUUGGCGUAAUGGGGAGAUAAUUUUGACGAAGUAGAAUCCUGACUGCAAGGUCGCCAAAUCAGUCAGGAUUCUACUUCGUCAAAAUUAUCUCCCCAUUACACCAGUUCAUUUUCUCAAUCG
RNAcentral lists this long non-coding RNA (237 nucleotides) under Mytilus galloprovincialis (Mediterranean mussel). Lineage: Eukaryota; Metazoa; Mollusca; Bivalvia; Mytilida; Mytilidae. The record is from RNAcentral.